UUCCUCAUGUAAUAGCAUGUUGACGGCAAGUCAAUCUUUCCAACUCUAUUUCCUGUUUUAUCUUAAUAUUCUUGAGAUAAUGAAUGUUGAAAGUAUUAACUUAGUGGCAGCAUAUUACCAGAAAUCUCUCAGUCAGUAGUCAAUAAAACUUUGAGAAUACCUACUAUAAUAAGGUCACUGGGGAUUGAAACAAAAAUCUGUGUCCUUAAACAGUUUAUAAUCUAGUGGAAGAAGACUGCAGAAAAGAUGGUAGAAAAGUGAGUUGGAAAGUAAAUAUGUAAGGAUGGAGACAUCCAAAAUGAGUACAUCCAGAUGAGAAUUGAGUUAUCUGAUCUAUGGAGGGGGACAGGAUAGACAGCACCUUCCAAACAGACAUAAGACAUUGUAACAAGGCUGAUUGCAUGCUGCAAGAUUUUCCAAUGAGUUUACUGCGUGUUGCCUGUUUUUGUGUGGGACAAUGUUACCCUGAUAAAAUGUUGAACCAGUUUUCUAAUUAUUAGUGGAAGAAAUGGGUUUCAUGACUUGAGUUCAGCCAGGAGCUUUUCUUGGAUGAUGUAAAUCUUUGCCUUGGACUUUGUUCCAAAGUCAUAUUUCACACUAACCCAACUUAAAAAUGUUAAGUUUACAUCUGCCAUGAACAUUGUUCAUUUGUUUCCAUCAUUCUGUCCCAACUCUUCAUAACCCAGUUUGGGGUUUUCUUGGCAAAGCUACCAAGAGCUGCUUGCCAUUUCCUUCUCCCAUGAAUCAACUUUGUCAGACAAUUGGAGGUUAAGUGAUUUUGCCAGUACACAGCUAGGAUGGAUUUGAACUUGUCUUCCUCAUCCCAGGCCCAGCCCUAUAUCCCCUGACCCACCUGCUGCCUCAUGUGAUUGUUAGUGUUGCUUUUUUUUCCUAUUAGAAAUCCUAGUGAAUUUCUGUGCUCUCUUAAAUAGUCAAACUAUUUACCUCUUUAGUUCUCCUUUUGCCAGAAGGAGGGUCUUCGGGCAAUUAGGUUUCUUGUUCAUCAGGAAAACAACUGGUGGAAAAGAGGGUCAUAGCUAGCACUUUGUUAGUGCUUUAAGAUUUGCAAGUUAUUUCUUUUAUGUGUUAUUUCUUUUCUACCUCAAUAGCAGUUUGAGGUAGAUGCUAUUGUCUAUUAGAAAGAGGCUAGUGACUCUUACUUCCCUUAAUACACCUUAUGAAGUGCAAAUGGCAUCAAGACUCUGCUUAGGACCUGCAUUUUACAUUAGAUUUCCCUGAAUCUCAUCCCCAUCCUGCACCCUGGAAUGGGGACAGCCCAGCCCCAUAAGAUGACUGAGACAUAUUUGAGUGCUAGACUUGGGAAACCUGAGUUUGGGACUGUUCCCCCACUGACUACUUUUGAGCAAGUCAUUUAAGUUCUGGUCUUGUUUCUUGCUUUGUUAAAUGGGGAUAUAAUACUUGUGACCUACUUCAAAAUUAUGAUGAAAGGAUUCAGUGAAAUUGCAGUAUAAAUGCAUAUUUUUCUUUUUCCUUUAGUUUUUCUUCUCUCUGGCUUCCCUUUACUGGAAGGAAGCCUCUUUUAUAUCUUACCAUAACUUUCCUAAAAAAAAAGCCCUGUCUUUAUAGACAGAAACUAAAGGAGGGAAGGGGUAGGAUUCCCAAAUCUGUAAUCAAAAUGACAACUCUAAGGACAGACAAGUGAGGGCAGGGUAUGAGUGAGCUGUGUCCAUGGUGAUCUCAGAAGAUACUUGCAGUAAGACCAGCAAUAAAUGCUUCACAAAAGAGCAAGUACUUCUAAGGUAGUAUUUAGAUAGGAAAGGGGAAAUAAUUUAAACAAAGGAAGCAAUAAAGGGAUGUAGACAGGGGUGUACACUGUGUUCUCAAGGAAUGAAUAAUAACUGGAGGGGUGGAUUUAUGUGAGGGAACUGCUGCAAAAUGGAUUAAAGAUUGGUGUUGAAGCCAAGUGAGUGAGGCCUAAUCUUUGAAUGUUAUACUUGAUGUUAUCUUUCACUUGCUUGUUCCCUGGACUAAACUUACCACAAGCAAUUUCCUUCUGUCUUGAGAGACUUAAUUGUAUUGUUUUGGAAAGUUUUGCAGUGCUUUUGAGGUUUAUUAGAAAGGCAAGCUGCCAUUGCAUCCUUGUUCAAACUCAGACUUAAUGACUGUUACAAACCAAUGAUAUCUUUUUCUGUGGUAGUUACAUAAAAGCAUGUACAAUUUUUUGUCUGUUAGUUCUGGAAGCUUGUUAAAAACUCAGUAAGGUCAUUAUCCAUAAUCAUACCUAAUACAAAUCAACAAAUUAUGUAAUUGUUUUAUUCAUUGGAUGGAAUUCUUUUUACAAAGAAUUGAUAAAAACAAGUAUGAACAGAAUAAACUGAAUUGUGUCAGUGUCAAACCUGGAUCAUUUACAGAUUGGAUUUUUUUUUGUUGAUGUUUUUAAUUUUUAAAAAUAUUUUAAAAGUUAACUGGUUCUGCAUGGACAGAUCCUCUGUAUUAUGGUCUAUCAGUAUCUUGAAUAAAU
This is a long non-coding RNA of Sarcophilus harrisii (Tasmanian devil), 2482 nucleotides long. The record is from Ensembl. Lineage: Eukaryota; Metazoa; Chordata; Mammalia; Dasyuromorphia; Dasyuridae.